CAGUCUUUUUUAUGCAAGGAUCUUGGACA
Molecule: non-coding RNA, 29 nt
Filed under: Mus musculus (house mouse)
Lineage: Eukaryota; Metazoa; Chordata; Mammalia; Rodentia; Muridae
Source: RNAcentral